GCCUGCUUGGCUCAGUGGUAGAGCGUCUGUCUCGUAAACAGAAGAUCGGUGGUUCGAAUCCGCCAGUGGGCA
Molecule: transfer RNA, 72 nt
Filed under: Tieghemiomyces parasiticus
Lineage: Eukaryota; Fungi; Kickxellomycota; Dimargaritomycetes; Dimargaritales; Dimargaritaceae
Rfam family: tRNA
About the family: Transfer RNA (tRNA) molecules are approximately 80 nucleotides in length. Their secondary structure includes four short double-helical elements and three loops (D, anti-codon, and T loops). Further hydrogen bonds mediate the characteristic L-shaped molecular structure. tRNAs have two regions of fundamental functional importance: the anti-codon, which is responsible for specific mRNA codon recognition, and the 3' end, to which the tRNAs corresponding amino acid is attached (by aminoacyl-tRNA synthetases). tRNAs cope with the degeneracy of the genetic code in two manners: having more than one tRNA (with a specific anti-codon) for a particular amino acid; and 'wobble' base-pairing, i.e. permitting non-standard base-pairing at the 3rd anti-codon position.
Source: Rfam by way of RNAcentral